UACGUAGGGGGCAAGCGUUGUCCGGAAUUAUUGGGCGUAAAGAGCGCGUAGGCGGUCCGAUAAGUCGGCUGUGAAAGUCAGGGGCUCAACCCUUGAAAGCCGGCCGAUACUGUCGGACUAGAGUCCGGAAGAGGCAAGUGGAAUUCCCGGUGUAGCGGUGAAAUGCGCAGAUAUCGGGAGGAACACCAAUGGCGAAGGCACUCUGCUAGGCCUGAUUUCGCGACUGACACUCAGGGACGAGAGCCAGGGGAGCGAAUGGG
RNAcentral lists this ribosomal RNA (260 nucleotides) under uncultured bacterium. RNAcentral's name for it is "partial 16S ribosomal RNA". It matches the Rfam family "Bacterial small subunit ribosomal RNA", at positions 524 to 776 of the family's 1533-position model. The record is from RNAcentral.